This 497-nucleotide ribosomal RNA is filed under the name uncultured bacterium. RNAcentral describes it as "partial 16S ribosomal RNA". It matches the Rfam family "Bacterial small subunit ribosomal RNA", at positions 28 to 507 of the family's 1533-position model. The record is from RNAcentral.
GACGAACGCUGGCGGCGUGCCUAAUACAUGCAAGUUGAGCGCUGAAGGUUGGUACUUGUACCAACUGGAUGAGCAGCGAACGGGUGAGUAACGCAUGGGGAAUCUGCCUUUGAGCGGGGGACAACAUUUGGAAACGAAUGCUAAUACCGCAUAAAAACUUUAAACACAAGUUUUAAGUUUGAAAGAUGCAAUUGCAUCACUCAAAGAUGAUCCCGCGUUGUAUUAGCUAGUUGGUGAGGUAAAGGCUCACCAAGGCGAUGAUACAUAGCCGACCUGAGAGGGUGAUAGGCCACAUUGGGACUGAGACACGGCCCAAACUCCUACGGGAGGCAGCAGUAGGGAAUCUUCGGCAAUGGACGAAAGUCUGACCGAGCAACGCCGCGUGAGUGAAGAAGGUUUUCGGAUCGUAAAACUCUGUUGGUAGAGAAGAACGUUGGUGAGAGUGGAAAGCUCAUCAAGUGACGGUAACUACCCAGAAAGGGACGGCUAACUACGUG